GAGGAAUAUUGGUCAAUGGGCGGAAGCCUGAACCAGCCAUGCCGCGUGAAGGACGAAGGCGUUCUGCGUUGUAAACUUCUUUUAUAAGGGAAGAAACCUACGAUUUCUAUUGUAGCCGACGGUACCUUAUGAAUAAGCACCGGCUAACUCCGUGCCAGCAGCCGCGGUAAUACGGAGGGUGCAAGCGUUAUCCGGAUUUACUGGGUUUAAAGGGUGUGUAGGCGGGCUUGUAAGUCAGGGGUGAAAUCCUACAGCUUAACUGUAGAACUGCCUUUGAUACUAUAAGUCUUGAAUAUUGUUGAGGUAGGCGGAAUACAUCAUGUAGCGGUGAAAUGCUUAGAUAUGAUGUAGAACACCGAUUGCGAAGGCAGCUUACUAAGCAAAUAUUGACGCUGAGGCACGAAAGCGUGGGGAUCAAAC
Molecule: ribosomal RNA, 420 nt
Filed under: uncultured bacterium
Lineage: Bacteria
Description: bacterial SSU rRNA
Rfam family: Bacterial small subunit ribosomal RNA
Source: RNAcentral